CUAAAUACUCCUUAGUGACCGAUAGCGCAUAGUACUGUGAAGGAACGGUGAAAAGGACCCCGGGAGGGGAGUGAAACAGAACCUGAAACCAUAUGUUUACAAGCUGUGGAACCAUGUUUUAUGUGGAACCGCGUACUUUUUGUAGAACGGUCCGGCGAGUUGCGCUGGCUGGCGAGGUUAAGCACCAAAGGUGUGGAGCCGAAGGGAAACCAAGUCUUAAUAGGGCGAAUGAGUCAGUCGGAGCAGACCCGAAACCGGGUGAUCUAUCCAUGUCCAGGUUGAAGUUGCCGUAAAAGGCAAUGGAGGACCGAACCCACAUCCGUUGAAAAGGGUGGGGAUGAGGUGUGGAUAGGGGAGAAAUUCCAAUCGAACCCGGAGAUAGCUGGUUCUCCUCGAAAUAGCUUUAGGGCUAGCCUCAUAUAAGUCUUGCGGAGGUAGAGCACUGAAUUUCCUAGGGGGCGUCAAAGCUUACCGAAGAAUAUCAAACUCCGAAUGCCGUGUAGAUGUUGUAUGGGAGUCAGACUGUACGAGAUAAGUUGGACAGUCAAAAGGGAAAGAGCCCAGACCUGCAGCUAAGGCCCCAAAAUGUGUGUUAAGUGGAAAAGGAUGUGGGAUUUCGAAGACAACUAGGAUGUUGGCUCAGAAGCAGCCAUACAUUCAAAGAGUGCGUAAUAGCUCACUAGUCGAGAGGUCCUGCGCCGAAAAUGUCCGGGGCUGAAACACACUGCCGAAGCUCAGGAAUUAACUGAUGUUAAUUGGUAGAGGAGCAUUGUAUACGGGACGAAGCAGUACCGAUAAGGAGCUGUGGACUGUAUAGAAGAGAGAAUGCCGGAAUGAGUAGCGAGAGGAAGGUGAGAAUCCUUCCGGCCGAAUAUCUAAGGUUUCCAGAGUAAAGCUGAUCUGCUCUGGGUAAGUCGGGGCCUAAGGCCAGGUCGAAAGACGUAACCGAUGGACAACAGGUUGAAAUUCCUGUACCUUAAGUAAACAGAACUGUGGGGACACGUGUGGAGAGCACAAGCCGGAAAUGGAAAAGCCGGUGCAAGCGAGGUAGGAGUACAGUAGGCAAAUCCGCUGUACAAUCCGAAGACGUGAUGCGGACCGAAUUAAGAGUAGGGAAGUGUGUGAGCCAUGCGUCAAGAAAAGCCGCUAUUGUUUUACUUAAGCCCGUACCGUAAACCGACACAGGUGGAUGAGGAGAGAAUCCUAAGGCCGACGGGAGAAGCAUUGUUAAGGAACUCGGCAAAAUGACUCCGUAACUUCGGGAGAAGGAGUGCCAGCGAGAGCUGGCCGCAGAGAAUUGGCCCAAGCAACUGUUUAGCAAAAACACAGGUCUAUGCAAAACCGUAAGGUGAAGUAUAUGGGCUGACGCCUGCCCGGUGCUGGAAGGUUAAGAGGAGAGGUUAGCGGUAACGCGAAGCUUUGAAUUUAAGCCCCAGUAAACGGCGGCCGUAACUAUAACGGUCCUAAGGUAGCGAAAUUCCUUGUCGGGUAAGUUCCGACCCGCACGAAAGGCGUAAUGAUUUGGGCACUGUCUCAACAAUGCACCCGGUGAAAUUGAAAUACCAGUGAAGAUGCUGGUUACCUGCGCCAGGACGGAAAGACCCCAUGGAGCUUUACUCCAGCUUGAUACUGGGAUUCGGUAUUGCAUGUACAGGAUAGGUGGGAGGCUAGGAAGUGAUAACGCCAGUUGUCACGGAGCCGCUGUUGGGAUACCACCCUUGCAGUAUUGGAUUUCUAACCAGCGACCAUGAACUGGUCGGGGGACAAUGUCAGGUGGGGAGUUUGACUGGGGCGGUCGCCUCCGAAAGGGUAUCGGAGGCGCUCAAAGGUUCCCUCAGAAUGGUUGGAAACCAUUCGAAGAGUGCA
Molecule: ribosomal RNA, 1866 nt
Filed under: human gut metagenome
Description: bacterial LSU rRNA
Rfam family: Bacterial large subunit ribosomal RNA
Source: RNAcentral